RNAcentral lists this microRNA precursor (85 nucleotides) under Anopheles quadriannulatus. RNAcentral describes it as "microRNA mir-137". The record is from RNAcentral. Lineage: Eukaryota; Metazoa; Arthropoda; Insecta; Diptera; Culicidae.
AUGUUCUCAUUCUUAAUCGAGACUGGUUUUCUUGAGGAAGCAGUACACCUCAAGAAAACCAGUCUCGAUUAAGAAUGAGAACAUU